Molecule: long non-coding RNA, 955 nt
Organism: Chiloscyllium plagiosum (whitespotted bambooshark)
Lineage: Eukaryota; Metazoa; Chordata; Chondrichthyes; Orectolobiformes; Hemiscylliidae
Source: RefSeq, a predicted model, not a curated record
CUGUAUUUCAGAGAACCACGCAUAUUGAAGAAGUUGAAAAACAUUUGCUUCAUUACCAGAUGGUAGUCCGCCUGCCUUCAUUUAUCCACAGACUGAACACCACAGCUGAAGCAGACUCCAUUCUUCUGAAUGAUACAAAAUACAUAUUUGAAAACUACAGAGGAACGGAUACUUCAUUCCCUUUGUUUCUUCAGAAGACAAAAGAGAAAUGUGACUUCCAUAUUUCUGAAGCUCGACAAGAGAGAAAAACAUUUGUGCUCUCCUCAUGACCCAUUCAGCAAAGACACCACGCACUAUAGUACUGCACCCUAAAAAUACCAAGAAACCCAAGAUAAAUUCAAGAUAACCCAAGAUAAAAUAACUUUCCAUCCAUGAGUCAAGUGAUCACAGCUUCUGCACUGAGUGUAUUUGACAAGCUGAAUUCAGACACUCAAUUUAAAACAGUGUCAGUUUGUCAAAUACCCCAAGUGCAGAGCUGAAACACAGCUGAACAUUGUCCAGUGCUGGGCGAGGCUGACAAGCAUACAACUGGCGAGACUCCAAUAUCUGCAUAUGUAUGUGUACACGUGCUUACAAGACCCAGAGUGAAUUAAGUGCACUUUGUGAACUGAAUAGCUGUUGGAAUGGUUAUUAUUAAGAUGUUACAGAGCCUUUCUGUGCCCAACACAAAAUGUUUAUUUCAAAAUGGAUGUUACAUUCUCGUUAUAUUAAACUAAUGGGCAGCUUGUAAGAUAUCAUGACAUCACUAACCACAUUUUCGGCACUGGCUUUAGCUCAGUAGUUACUUCAAUUUCCUUGAAAUCUGUCUGGUCGCAUGUUCAUGUCCAGUUAACUACAGGCGCUGCCCAGCACUUCAUUCCUUCAGUAACUUUCUGGGGCACAUGGUGGCUCAGUGGUUAGCAUUGCUGCCUCACAGAACCAGUGAUCCGGGUUCAAUUCCCACCCCAGGCAACUG